This is a long non-coding RNA of Podarcis raffonei (Aeolian wall lizard), 810 nucleotides long. RefSeq lists it as uncharacterized. Lineage: Eukaryota; Metazoa; Chordata; Lepidosauria; Squamata; Lacertidae. The transcript is spliced from 2 exons. The record is from RefSeq and is a predicted model, not a curated record.
CCUAAUAUGCCAAAGGGAAUUCUACAUUCUCUAGGCCAACUGCCUUCCCACUUUGAAUACAUUUUUGAAUGAUGCUUUGGUAGUUGUAAGCCCACCAUUUUACAACACAGCUUUUAGCUUGGAACAUCCCUGGCUCAAGAGCGGUCCACAGAACAGGCAACCUACUCCUGUAGAGCAGCCAUUAUUCCAGACCUUUUAAGACAGUCCUCCAAAUAAAUUUACCGAAUUAUUAGUUCACACUAUUUUCCCCACUAGCUUUGCUGCCCACACAUGUCAAUGUUAAUGAUGUUUGGCUGAAAAGAAAAUAAGAACCACUUUACAAAAGCUUCCCUGCCUGAUCACUUGGAAGCAAUUCAUACCCAUCAUGGGUGCCUAGUUGAGUGGCUAUUUUUAAAAAACCCUGCUUUUAACUUAUCACUCCCACCUUCUCUGCAUGCCAUGCAGUUGGUAACUUACCCAUAAAUCCCCUCACAGCUUGGUGAGAAAUGCUGACAAGAGUGAUUUGGCGUGAUGCUAGCACAUCAUCAUCUCUUCCAUCAACUCCUUGUUCCAGUAACACUUUACUCUUAGGUUUCUCUCUCCUCUCACCCACUUCCAAACAUAACUGACUGAGCUAAGCUUUCUCCAAAGAAGUAUGCCAAAAUACCAUGAAUCGAACUCACUGCACCGCAUUCAUCAUGAAAAUUAUCACUCUUUACUGGAUCAAUGAAUGGGGCGGCAAAGUAUACGAAAAGGGCCUCUAUUUUGUUUUCUACCUCUUUCCACCUCAAAGGCUCUAAGUUUUCAAAAGUAAACUUACACAUUCCACAA